GACGAACGCUGGCGGCGUGCCUAAUACAUGCAAGUCGAGCGAAGUUUUUCUGGUGCUUGCACUAGAAAAACUUAGCGGCGAACGGGUGAGUAACACGUAAAGAACCUGCCUCAUAGACUGGGACAACUAUUGGAAACGAUAGCUAAUACCGGAUAACAGUAUUUCUCGCAUGAGAGAUAUUUAAAAGUUGGUUAUGCUAACACUAUGAGAUGGCUUUGCGGUGCAUUAGCUAGUUGGUGGGGUAAAGGCCCACCAAGGCGACGAUGCAUAGCCGACCUGAGAGGGUGAUCGGCCACACUGGGCCUGAGACACGGCCCAGACUCCUACGGGAGGCAGCAGUAGGGAAUCUUCCGCAAUGGGCGAAAGCCUGACGGAGCAACGCCGCGUGAGUGAAGAAGGAUUUCGGUUCGUAAAGCUCUGUUGUUAGGGAAGAAUGGAUAUGUAGUAACUAUACAUGUAAGAGACGGUACCUAACCAGAAAGCCACGGCUAACUACGUG
Molecule: ribosomal RNA, 499 nt
Filed under: uncultured bacterium
Lineage: Bacteria
Description: partial 16S ribosomal RNA
Rfam family: Bacterial small subunit ribosomal RNA
Source: RNAcentral